Molecule: ribosomal RNA, 484 nt
Filed under: uncultured bacterium
Lineage: Bacteria
Description: partial 16S ribosomal RNA
Rfam family: Bacterial small subunit ribosomal RNA
Source: RNAcentral
AUUGAACGCUGGCGGCAGGCCUAACACAUGCAAGUCGAGCGGAUGAAGGGAGCUUGCUCCUGGAUUCAGCGGCGGACGGGUGAGUAAUGCCUAGGAAUCUGCCUGGUAGUGGGGGAUAACGUCCGGAAACGGGCGCUAAUACCGCAUACGUCCUGAGGGAGAAAGUGGGGGAUCUUCGGACCUCACGCUAUCAGAUGAGCCUAGGUCGGAUUAGCUAGUUGGUGGGGUAAAGGCCUACCAAGGCGACGAUCUGUAACUGGUCUGAGGGGAUGAUCAGUCACACUGGAACUGAGACACGGUCCAGACUCCUACGGGAGGCAGCAGUGGGGAAUAUUGGACAAUGGGCGAAAGCCUGAUCCAGCCAUGCCGCGUGUGUGAAGAAGGUCUUCGGAUUGUAAAGCACUUUAAGUUGGGAGGAAGGGCAGUAAGUUAAUACCUUGCUGUUUUGACGUUACCAACAGAAUAAGCACCGGCUAACUUCGUG